ACGCACGCUGGCGGCGUGCUUAACACAUGCAAGUCGAACGGAAAGGCCUCUUUCGGGGGGUACUCGAGUGGCGAACGGGUGAGUAACACGUGAGUAACCUGUCCUUGACUUUGGGAUAACUUCAGGAAACUGGGGCUAAUACCGGAUAGGAGCUCCUGCUGCAUGGUGGGGGUUGGAAAGUUUCGGCGGUUGGGGAUGGACUCGCGGCUUAUCAGCUUGUUGGUGGGGUAGUGGCUUACCAAGGCUUUGACGGGUAGCCGGCCUGAGAGGGUGACCGGCCACAUUGGGACUGAGAUACGGCCCAGACUCCUACGGGAGGCAGCAGUGGGGAAUAUUGCACAAUGGGUGGAAGCCUGAUGCAGCAACGCCGUGUGCGGGAUGACGGCCUUCGGGUUGUAAACCGCUUUCGCUCAUGACGAAGCUUUGUGUGACGGUAGUGGGUAAAGAAGCACCGGCUAACUACGUG
RNAcentral lists this ribosomal RNA (466 nucleotides) under uncultured bacterium. Its description in RNAcentral is "partial 16S ribosomal RNA". It matches the Rfam family "Bacterial small subunit ribosomal RNA", at positions 29 to 507 of the family's 1533-position model. The record is from RNAcentral.